UGCGUAGGCGGCUGCCUAAGUCAGGUGUGAAAUCUCUCGGCUCAACCGGGAAACUGCGCUUGAUACUGGGCGGCUCGAGUGAGGUAGGGGUGUGUGGAACUUCCGGUGGAGCGGUGAAAUGUGUAGAUAUCGGAAGGAACGCCAGCAGCGAAAGCGGCACACUGGGCCUUUUCUGACGCUGAGGCACGAAAGCCAGGGGAGCGAACGGGAUUAGAUACCCCGGUAGUCCUGGCCGUAAACACUGAACACUCGAGGAGGGGGGCUUCGGCCUUCUUUCUCUUAGCGAAAGCGUUAAGUGUUCCGCCUGGGGAGUAUGGUCGCAAGGCUGAA
RNAcentral lists this ribosomal RNA (330 nucleotides) under uncultured Planctomyces sp. RNAcentral describes it as "bacterial SSU rRNA". It matches the Rfam family "Bacterial small subunit ribosomal RNA", at positions 568 to 898 of the family's 1533-position model. The record is from RNAcentral. Lineage: Bacteria; Pseudomonadati; Planctomycetota; Planctomycetia; Planctomycetales; Planctomycetaceae.